This 406-nucleotide ribosomal RNA is filed under the name uncultured bacterium. Its description in RNAcentral is "partial 16S ribosomal RNA". It matches the Rfam family "Bacterial small subunit ribosomal RNA", at positions 30 to 526 of the family's 1533-position model. The record is from RNAcentral.
AUUGAACGCUGGCGGCAGGCCUAACACAUGCAAGUCGAACGAGUGGCGGACGGGUGAGUAAUGUCUGGGAAACUGCCUGAUGGAGGGGGAUAACUACUGGAAACGGUAGCUAAUACCGCAUACCAUCAGAUGUGCCCAGAUGGGAUUAGCCUGUUGGUGGGGUAACGGCUCACCAAGCCGACGAUCCCUAGCUGGUCUGAGAGGAUGACCAGCCACACUGGAACGGGGACACGGUCCAGACUCCUACGGUGGGCAGCAGUGGGGAAUAUUUCACAGUGUGCGCAAGCCUGAUGCAGCCAUGCCGCGUGUAUUAAGAGGGCCUUCGGGUUGUAAAGUACUUUCGGCGGGGAGGCGUUACCCACAGAAGAAGCGCCGGCUAACUCCGUGCCAGCAGCCGCGGUAAUUC